RNAcentral lists this ribosomal RNA (514 nucleotides) under Listeria monocytogenes. Its description in RNAcentral is "bacterial SSU rRNA". It matches the Rfam family "Bacterial small subunit ribosomal RNA", at positions 1013 to 1527 of the family's 1533-position model. The record is from RNAcentral. Lineage: Bacteria; Bacillati; Bacillota; Bacilli; Caryophanales; Listeriaceae.
UUCCCCUUCGGGGGCAAAGUGACAGGUGGUGCAUGGUUGUCGUCAGCUCGUGUCGUGAGAUGUUGGGUUAAGUCCCGCAACGAGCGCAACCCUUAUUGUUAGUUGCCAUCAUUUAGUUGGGCACUCUAGCGAGACUGCCGGUGACAAACCGGAGGAAGGUGGGGAUGACGUCAAAUCAUCAUGCCCCUUAUGACCUGGGCUACACACGUGCUACAAUGGGAAGUACAACGAGUUGCGAAGUCGCGAGGCUAAGCUAAUCUCUUAAAGCUUCUCUCAGUUCGGAUUGUAGGCUGCAACUCGCCUACAUGAAGCCGGAAUCGCUAGUAAUCGCGGAUCAGCACGCCGCGGUGAAUACGUUCCCGGGCCUUGUACACACCGCCCGUCACACCACGAGAGUUUGUAACACCCGAAGUCGGUGAGGUAACCUUUUUGGAGCCAGCCGCCUAAGGUGGGAUAGAUGAUUGGGGUGAAGUCGUAACAAGGUAGCCGUAUCGGAAGGUGCGGCUGGAUCACC